UCUAGUUCUUGUUUCCUUCGUCCUCAUCCGGUGCGCGCAGAUUUAAAAUUUGGUGUGAGAGUUAUCGUAUACUAACAAACUAACAGAAUCUAUUACCGAUCUCUCUUUCCCCCUCUCUCUCAUCCAGCCAGCACCACAGCAGCAGCCAGCACCACGGCUUCCCUCGCCGUCCAAUACAACGACCUUACCGAGCCGGCCGGCCGGCGCCGCCGAACAGCCCCGCAACCGCAAGGAGAUAUUGUCGAAUCCUGGCAAUCAUAUAUGUACUACUAGCGCACCUCCAACUCUGCUCCGUAAAUGCACUGGUGUCUACUGUCUACUUCUGACUCAUGUUGUAGAUGCACCGUAGAUUACAGUACUAAUGCUCAACAAUUGAUUUUAGUUGGAUUAUCAAAUUAGAUCAUGUGUGUACUAAUGCUAAUCAUGCUAAUACCCUCUAAUUGCAAUUGUGUAAGCAGUACGCAGCAUAUGGCAAAGUCACGGGAUGGUGGCAGAACCUCCAACUCUGCUCUGAAGAGAGCCCUUUCUGCAGAUCGAACAAGGAGGACGCAUGAACCCUCUGAAAAAAGAGGCUUCAGUCGCACUAUCUCAAGGAAAAGGAGUGCUUCAAAGAUGAAAGCAUGGAAAGACAAAAUAUACUCCAGGUUUGUUCAGAAAUGGACUUGACUCUAGGGAUGCGGGAGUCGCCAAAGAUUGGGGGCAUCGUCCUAAAUGACAAGUCGGGCGUUGCCCGUUAGUCUCUCCACCCUUAUGGGCAAUUUACGGUGGAGUCUAUGUAUGCGAUUUCGGUUAACACCAAUUGACAAUUCCAAAAAAAUGUCAGAGGAAACUUGAAAUUCUCCUAAAAUAUCUUUGUGUGGUACAUUUGUCGGGGGAAAUUCUUGCUAAGGAUAACUUUGCUACUUGGAAAUGGAAGGGCAGCAAGACGUGCUAAUUCUGUAGUGAGUAUGAGAGUACUCAACACUUUUUAUAGACUGUCCGAUGGAGGCCCUCGUAUUCUGUCACUUUGUUGGUUGCCAGAAAGUGGAGUUGGACCGCGUACUGCAACUUCUCCCUGAUUGGACUGUUGGAGACAUGAUGUCGACGCCAACCCCCAAGCUUUCUAGUGUGAGGGAGCCAUCGGAUGACAUUGACCAUUUCUUGUCUGCAAUGUGGCCGGUAUCGGGGUCUCGAACGGGAUGGGUCCACUUCGCAUGAAGUCGGCAAGGGGAUGACACUUGAUCGCCGGGCAGGUGAUGUAAACUGUAUAUCAAAGGGACCAAACUCGGCAGUCUAGUUUGCCACGCCCCACCAGUUUUUCUUUCCUCCCGUUCUGUAAAAAAUAAAGAUGUCUAGGGCUCUUUUUUAGAUAGAGAAAAUAAUUCAGUAAAUCUAACUAUUGUAUGGAGUAGUAUUUUUGCAACACUCCAAAAAUACUGAGAUGCCAAACACAGCCUUAUAUGUACGUGUCAUUUUGUGUAUACUUAUAUAAAGUGCUGAUGAGGCAAAAUACUCACA
Molecule: long non-coding RNA, 1497 nt
Organism: Brachypodium distachyon (stiff brome)
Lineage: Eukaryota; Viridiplantae; Streptophyta; Magnoliopsida; Poales; Poaceae
Exons: 2
Source: RefSeq, a predicted model, not a curated record